This 68-nucleotide transfer RNA is filed under the name Marmota monax (woodchuck). Its description in RNAcentral is "tRNA.Ala". The record is from RNAcentral. Lineage: Eukaryota; Metazoa; Chordata; Mammalia; Rodentia; Sciuridae.
GUUGUGGCUCAGUGGUAGAAGGCUUGCCUAGCACGUGUGAGGCCCUGGGUUUGAUUCUCAGCAUCACA